AACGAACGCUGGCGGCGUGCCUAACACAUGCAAGUCGAACGAGAAAGGGGCUUCGGCUCCGAGUAAAGUGGCGCACGGGUGGGUAACACGUGGGUAACCUGCCUCUCAGAUUGGGAUAACUCGUCGAAAGAUGAGCUAAUACCGAAUAAGACCACAGUUCCCACGGGAACAGGCGUCAAAGGUAGCCUCUGCUUGCAAGCUAUCACUUGGAGAUGGGCCUGCGCACCAUUAGCUAGUUGGUAGGGUCACGGCCUACCAAGGCAAAGAUGGUUAGCUGGUCUGGGGAGAAGGACAGGCAACAUGGGACUGGGAACAGGGCCAAGACUCCACGGGAGGGAGGAGGGGGGAAAAUUGCGCAAGGGGGGAAAGGCUGAAGCAGCAAAGCCGGGGGAGGGAGGAAGGGCUUCGGGUCGUAAAACCCUGUCGGGAGGAACGAAAGCUCCGGAGGUUAAAAGCCUCGGGAGGUGACGGUACCUACAAAGGAAGCACCGGCUAACUCUGUG
Molecule: ribosomal RNA, 503 nt
Filed under: uncultured bacterium
Lineage: Bacteria
Description: partial 16S ribosomal RNA
Rfam family: Bacterial small subunit ribosomal RNA
Source: RNAcentral